Molecule: ribosomal RNA, 159 nt
Filed under: Rhizophagus intraradices
Lineage: Eukaryota; Fungi; Glomeromycota; Glomeromycetes; Glomerales; Glomeraceae
Description: 5.8S ribosomal RNA
Rfam family: 5.8S ribosomal RNA
About the family: 5.8S ribosomal RNA (5.8S rRNA) is a component of the large subunit of the eukaryotic ribosome.
Source: RNAcentral
UCACUUUCAACAACGGAUCUCUUGGUUCUCGCAUCGAUGAAGAACGUAGCGAAGUGCGAUAAGUAAUGUGAAUUGCAGAAUUCCGUGAAUCAUCGAAUUUUUGAACGCAAAUUGCACUCUCUGGUGUUCCAAGGGAGUAUGCCUGUUUGAGGGUUAAUU